RNAcentral lists this ribosomal RNA (301 nucleotides) under uncultured bacterium. RNAcentral's name for it is "partial 16S ribosomal RNA". It matches the Rfam family "Bacterial small subunit ribosomal RNA", at positions 509 to 807 of the family's 1533-position model. The record is from RNAcentral.
CAGUAGCCGCGGGAAUACGAAGGGGGCUAGCGUUGCUCGGAAUGACUGGGCGUAAAGGGCGCGUAGGCGGCGAUCAAAGUCAGGCGUGAAAUUCCUGGGCUCAACCUGGGGGCUGCGCUUGAUACUUGGUUGCUUGAGUGGGGAAGAGGGUCGUGGAAUUCCCAGUGUAGAGGUGAAAUUCGUAGAUAUUGGGAAGAACACCGGUGGCGGAGGCGGCAACCUGGUCCUUGACUGACGCUGAGGCGCGAAAGCGUGGGGAGCAAACAGGAUUAGAUACCCCCGUAGUCCCUGUCUCUUAUAC